RNAcentral lists this ribosomal RNA (263 nucleotides) under uncultured bacterium. Its description in RNAcentral is "partial 16S ribosomal RNA". It matches the Rfam family "Bacterial small subunit ribosomal RNA", at positions 524 to 786 of the family's 1533-position model. The record is from RNAcentral.
UACGUAGGGGGCGAGCGUUGUCCGGAAUUACUGGGCGUAAAGGGUGCGUAGGCGGCGAUGCAAGUCCAUUGUGAAAAGCCCGGGCUUAACCUGGGAGGUGCAGUGGAAACUGUAUGGCUUGAGUGCAGGAGAGGGAAGUGGAAUUCCUAGUGUAGCGGUGAAAUGCGUAGAUAUUAGGAGGAACACCAGUGGCGAAGGCGACUUUCUGGACUGUAACUGACGCUGAGGCACGAAAGCGUGGGGAGCAAACAGGAUUAGAUACC